GAUGAACGCUGGCGGCGUGCCUAAUACAUGCAAGUCGAGCGGAAGGACGCGAAGCUUGCGUCGCGGAUGUUAGCGGCGGGCGGGAGAGUAACGCGUGUAUAAUCUACCUAUCAUACUGGGAUCACUUCGGGAAACCGGCUCUAAUACCGUAGAAUAUUUUGAAGCGCAGGGUGGAAAAGUGAAAGACGGCCUUGGUGUCACGAAUAGAGGGAUCCGCGCUGCAUUAGCUAGUUGGUACGGUAACGGCUUACCAAGGCUACGAUGCAUAGCCGACCUGAGAGGGUGAUCGGCCACACUGGAACUGAGACACGCACCAGACUCCUGCGGGAGGCAGCAGUCGGGAACCUUACGCAGUGGUCGAAAGCCUGACGCAGCGACGCCGCGUGAGUGAUGAAGGUCUUCGGAUCGUAAAGCUCUGUUAUUAGGUAAGAACAGAUGUGGCCGUAGACGUGGCGAGAUUGACGGUACCUAAUAAAAAAGCACCGGCUAACUACGUG
This 497-nucleotide ribosomal RNA is filed under the name uncultured bacterium. RNAcentral describes it as "partial 16S ribosomal RNA". It matches the Rfam family "Bacterial small subunit ribosomal RNA", at positions 28 to 507 of the family's 1533-position model. The record is from RNAcentral.